This 86-nucleotide transfer RNA is filed under the name Polyopes lancifolius. RNAcentral's name for it is "tRNA-Ser". It matches the Rfam family "tRNA". Rfam says of the family: Transfer RNA (tRNA) molecules are approximately 80 nucleotides in length. Lineage: Eukaryota; Rhodophyta; Florideophyceae; Halymeniales; Halymeniaceae. The record is from RNAcentral.
GGAUGAAUGGCUGAGUGGUUGAAAGCAUCAAUUUUGAAAAUUGACAUAAGCGAAUUUUAUCGUGGGUUCGAAUCCUACUUCAUCCG